UUUUCGUUGUUUUGAUUUUUUGGUUGUUAGUGAUAUCGCGAUUCUCGGGUUUUUUAAUUAUUUGACAAUAAAUACCAAAAGUUCCGAAGUAAUUGUUCGGUCGCCAUAUUAUUUACUUUUCUAACAUGAUGAUGGACGAACAGGAAAGGCUCUUAAAGUUUCAAAUAGAGCCAACAGAUUUCCACAGGCUAUAGUGGAAGGAAAUACCACAGAACUGUUGGAUCAGUUCUCAUAGUACAAAUGUACCAGCUGUCUUCUGAUGAACUACCCAGUUUGAUGAGGCAAUAGCAACAUAUAUAGUUUGUUGGAAGCAAUGGCAGCGAUUAAAGAUGACAUUUUAGAUGGCAAAAAAACGUUAUGACACUCUUUCAAAGCUUGAUAAAGCUAUUUUAGUUCACCCAAAUAUCAAUUCUUACUGUGAGAGAACAUUUUCAAUUAUAAAGAAAUUCACUCUGAAUUCUGAUCAGAACUUGACAAUGAUAUAUUGUGUGCUUAUCAAGUAAAUGUAACCAAACUGGCAGUUGUUUUGAAUAUGUGCCUAAUGGUGUUGAUUUAAAAGCAGCAAAACAGACCACUGUUGAAUACAAUAAAAGUUUACAGUUGAA
This is a long non-coding RNA of Mytilus californianus (California mussel), 605 nucleotides long. RefSeq lists it as uncharacterized. The record is from RefSeq and is a predicted model, not a curated record. The transcript is spliced from 2 exons. NCBI's taxonomy places the organism in Eukaryota, Metazoa, Mollusca, Bivalvia, Mytilida, Mytilidae.